UCUGACGCAGGGAAGCAUCCAACAACCUGCAAACGGUGGCAUUUCCUCUGAGGCCACAAACUGCGUUUUCACUAGGCAGCGACUGCGACUCACCCGUGGCUGGACAAGGAACCAAACCCUGCCGCGUCUUCCCCCCUUCCCCAGCCGCUGUCCUCCACAGAGGGACCCCCCCGGCCAGGGGAUUGCCUCCCACCCAGACAGAACAAUUGCUCCAGCUUGCUCCAGAAAUAAAGCCUGAAGCCAUAGUCUGUUUGGUCAUCUGAUCUGAAGGAUCAUGCUAGCAGUCAUUGGUGCCAGAGUUAAGGAUCUCAUGACCCCAUAGAUAUUAGAGAGAAACAGGAGAGGCUUUCAAUGGAAAAUCAAUGUGGCUUGGCAGACGGUGAAAGAUUUUUUUACA
Molecule: long non-coding RNA, 397 nt
Organism: Tyto alba (common barn owl)
Lineage: Eukaryota; Metazoa; Chordata; Aves; Strigiformes; Tytonidae
Exons: 3
Source: RefSeq, a predicted model, not a curated record